AUCACGAACCCUACGAGCAAGCUGCCAAAAUGCCACCGGAAUUUCAGUGAAAAUGGUCAUCUUUCCACUUAUACAUCCAUAUGAUGCUAUGGUUCUAAAAUCACUAAUGGCAUGCUAAUUAUCAAGCUCUCUAUAUCAACUCAACACCAGAAACUAUGGAUAGCAUUCACCGUAUCCCACGAAUGGUAUUGUUCAGUGUCGUACAAUUCAACAAAUAGAUCAAUAUAUCGAAUUCAAACUCUUGAACUUGAUCGAACAAGCAAAGCCAUAAGCAUUCACUGAUGAAUCUCGCCACAAAUACAUACCUCAGCUUCAUUAACCCGUUUCCAACAAUCAGGCUCUCCUCCAUCCCAAGCACCAUCAUCUUCCUUCCUCGCUCUUCCCUUCUCUCGUACAUCGCUACCUCUUCCUCUCCCCGCACCACCACUAGAACCACCUAUUUCCCUUUCCCUCUCCAAAUCAUCAUCCCCGCUCGAAAUGCUAAGCAAUUCCACCUCCGACUCCUCAUCCUCAUCCAUGGAAGGC
Molecule: long non-coding RNA, 525 nt
Organism: Arabidopsis thaliana (thale cress)
Lineage: Eukaryota; Viridiplantae; Streptophyta; Magnoliopsida; Brassicales; Brassicaceae
Product: other RNA
Exons: 1
Source: RefSeq